CUUUUCAAGACUUCAGCUUCAAAUGCAUCAAUGACAAUUUUCUCUCUUUACAAAUAGACUGAUUUUGAGUACAGAAAAUUCAGUCUUUAAGUUGGUGGGAACAAUUGCCCUUGAUGCAAUUGAAGCUGAAGUCUUGAAAGAGA
Molecule: microRNA precursor, 143 nt
Filed under: Carica papaya (papaya)
Lineage: Eukaryota; Viridiplantae; Streptophyta; Magnoliopsida; Brassicales; Caricaceae
Description: miR8140 stem-loop (cpa-MIR8140)
Source: miRBase by way of RNAcentral